AUAUUGGUCAAUGGCCGGAAGGCUGAACCAGCCAAGCCGCGUGAGGGAAGACGGCCCUACGGGUUGUAAACCUCUUUAGCCGGGGAACAAGGCGCGGGACGCGUCCCGCCGUGAGCGUACCCGGAGAGUAAGCAUCGGCUAACGCCGUGCCAGCAGCCGCGGUAAUAAGGAGGAUGCGAGCGUUAUCCGGAUUUAUUGGGUUUAAAGGGUGCGUAGGCGGGCUUUUAAGUCAGCGGUAAAAAUUCGGGGCUCAACCCCGUCCGGCCGUUGAAACUGGGGGCCUUGAGUGGGCGAGAAGAAGGCGGAAUGCGUGGUGUAGCGGUGAAAUGCAUAGAUAUCACGCAGAACCCCGAUUGCGAAGGCAGCCUUCCGGCGCCCUACUGACGCUGAGGCACGAAAGUGCGGGGAUCGAACAGG
Molecule: ribosomal RNA, 417 nt
Filed under: uncultured bacterium
Lineage: Bacteria
Description: bacterial SSU rRNA
Rfam family: Bacterial small subunit ribosomal RNA
Source: RNAcentral